This 822-nucleotide ribosomal RNA is filed under the name Triticum aestivum (bread wheat). RNAcentral describes it as "partial small subunit ribosomal RNA". Lineage: Eukaryota; Viridiplantae; Streptophyta; Magnoliopsida; Poales; Poaceae. The record is from RNAcentral.
AUGUGUAUUCCAAAGAAAGAAGGGGGUAUGGGCUUCAGAGAUAUUCACUGCUUUAAUCUUGCACUUCUGGCAAAACAGGCAUGACGCCUUAUUGACAACCCGGACUCUUUGUGUGCGUUGAUCCUUAAGGCGAAAUAUUUUCCUGGUGGAGAUCUCAUGAAUGCAACUUUAAAAAAGAAGGCUUCAUAUACAUGGCGGAGUAUUAUGGCCGGAGUUGAUACGCUCAGACGUGGGUAUAUUUGGAGAGUUGGUGAUGGUGAGAAAAUUAGCAUAUGGGAUGAUCCCUGGAUACCUCAUAGCCCAACAAGAAAGGUGAUUUCACCAAGGGGCAACAAUCUUCUUUCUAGAGUUUCUGACCUCAUUGAUCCAGUGACAGGGAGUUGGGAUGAGCAGCUGGUUAACCAAACGUUCUGGCAAGUGGAUGUUCGAAGGAUUUUGGCCAUUCCACUACCAUUACAUGAGAUGACAGAUUUCCUGGCAUGGAACAUGACAAAGUCAGGGACUUUCACGGUGCGAUCUGCAUACGAUACAGAAUGGGAAUUUCAAUUUGGGCAGAAGUUGGAAUCAACGGCUGGAGCUUCAAACCCAUCUUAUACAUGGGACUCGGUAUGGAACUUAGUCUGCCCAGCAAAGAUAAAAAUAUUUAUGUGGCCCGCGCUCCAGAGUGCUAUUCCCUGUCGAUCUAUCCUGGCUAAUAAGCACUUGAAAAUAAAUCCGAGUUGCCCAGCCUGUAACCAGGGGCCUGAUGACAUAAGACAUAUGUUGUUCGAAUGCAAAUUGGCAAUGGACGUGUGGAAGAUGCUCGGUCUUGAGCUUGUUAUC